AUGUCGCCGGCGGAGCAGACGCGAGACGAGAGCGUCUACAUGGCCAAGCUUGCGGAGCAGGCCGAGCGCUACGAGGAGAUGGUGGAGUUCAUGGAGCGCGUCGCGAAGGCCACCGGCGGGGCAGGGCCCGGGGAGGAGCUAUCCGUCGAGGAGCGCAACCUGCUCUCUGUGGCUUACAAGAAUGUCAUCGGGGCCCGGCGCGCGUCCUGGAGGAUCAUCUCCUCCAUCGAGCAGAAGGAGGAAGGUCGGGGCAACGACGCGCACGCCGCUACCAUCCGCUCCUACCGCAGCAAGAUCGAGGCCGAGCUCGCAAAGAUCUGUGACGGCAUCCUCGCCCUGCUUGAUUCCCACCUCGUGCCAUCCGCCGGAGCUGCCGAGUCCAAAGUCUUCUAUCUCAAGAUGAAGGGCGACUACCACAGGUACCUUGCAGAGUUUAAGUCUGGUGGGGAGAGGAAGGAAGCCGCCGAGAGCACCAUGAACGCGUACAAAGCUGCUCAGGUUACUGAUAAGGAUAUCGCCCUAGUAGAUUUGGCUCCAACACACCCCAUCAGGCUUGGGCUUGCACUCAACUUUUCUGUGUUCUACUAUGAGAUCUUGAACUCCCCUGACCGUGCCUGCAACCUUGCAAAACAAGCCUUUGACGAGGCUAUAUCAGAGCUGGACAGUUUAGGCGAGGAAUCCUACAAGGACAGCACUUUAAUCAUGCAGCUCCUGCGUGACAAUUUGACUCUAUGGACAUCCGACACCAAUGAGGAUGACGUUGAUGAGAUUAAGGAAGCCCCAGCUCCAAAAGAAUCUGGAGACGGACAGUGA
This 813-nucleotide ribosomal RNA is filed under the name Triticum aestivum (bread wheat). RNAcentral describes it as "partial small subunit ribosomal RNA". The record is from RNAcentral. Lineage: Eukaryota; Viridiplantae; Streptophyta; Magnoliopsida; Poales; Poaceae.